UGGUCGCGUCGGUCCGUCGGGAAAUCCACCCGCCCAACGGGUGGGCGUCCGACGGAUACCACGUGACUAGGGACCGGGAGACCCAAGGGGUACGUCCGGGGUAGGAGUGAAAUCCCGUAAUCCUGGACGGACCGCCGAUGGCGAAAGCACCUUGGGAGAACGGAUCCGACAGUGAGGGACGAAAGCUCGGGUCUCGAACCGGAUUAGAUACCCGGGUAGUCCGAGCCGUAAACGAUGCCAGUUAGGUGUGUCUCCCACUACGAGUGGGUGAUGUGCCGAAGGGAAGCCGCUAAACUGGCCGCCUGGGAA
This 309-nucleotide ribosomal RNA is filed under the name uncultured archaeon. Its description in RNAcentral is "bacterial SSU rRNA". It matches the Rfam family "Archaeal small subunit ribosomal RNA", at positions 526 to 834 of the family's 1478-position model. The record is from RNAcentral.